GUGAGGAAUAUUGGACAAUGGGCGCAAGCCUGAUCCAGCCAUGCCGCGUGCAGGAAGACGCAUCUAUGGUGUGUAAACUGCUUUUGUACGGGAAGAAACACUCCCUCGUGAGGGAGCUUGACGGUACCGUAAGAAUAAGGAUCGGCUAACUCCGUGCCAGCAGCCGCGGUAAUGCGGAGGAUCCAAGCGUUAUCCGGAAUCAUUGGGUUUAAAGGGUCCGUAGGCGGUUUAAUAAGUCAGUGGUGAAAGCCCAUCGCUCAACGAUGGAACGGCCAUUGAUACUGUUAGACUUGAAUUACAAGGAAGUAACUAGAAUAUGUAGUGUAGCGGUCAAAUGCUUAGAUAUUACAUGGAAUACCAAUUGCGAAGGCAGGUUACUACUUGUGGAUUGACGCUGAUGGACGAAAGCGUGGGGAGCGAACAGGAUUAGAAACCCUGGUAGUCC
This 445-nucleotide ribosomal RNA is filed under the name uncultured bacterium. RNAcentral describes it as "partial 16S ribosomal RNA". It matches the Rfam family "Bacterial small subunit ribosomal RNA", at positions 354 to 796 of the family's 1533-position model. The record is from RNAcentral.